Molecule: long non-coding RNA, 101 nt
Organism: Melanotaenia boesemani (Boeseman's rainbowfish)
Lineage: Eukaryota; Metazoa; Chordata; Actinopteri; Atheriniformes; Melanotaeniidae
Exons: 3
Source: RefSeq, a predicted model, not a curated record
GAAGCAUAGCAACAACCGGAAAACACAACACCCAUCAUGGAAGAGAACAUACAAGAUGAGGGAAUGAUAGUGGUCUUGUUACUUUAGUUAACAGACUAAUA